RNAcentral lists this ribosomal RNA (249 nucleotides) under uncultured bacterium. RNAcentral's name for it is "partial 16S ribosomal RNA". It matches the Rfam family "Bacterial small subunit ribosomal RNA", at positions 524 to 772 of the family's 1533-position model. The record is from RNAcentral.
UACGAAGGGGGCUAGCGUUGCUCGGAAUUACUGGGCGUAAAGGGAGCGUAGGCGGACAUUUAAGUCAGGGGUGAAAUCCCGGGGCUCAACCUCGGAAUUGCCUUUGAUACUGGGUGUCUUGAGUGUGAGAGAGGUAUGUGGAACUCCGAGUGUAGAGGUGAAAUUCGUAGAUAUUCGGAAGAACACCAGUGGCGAAGGCGACAUACUGGCUCAUUACUGACGCUGAGGCUCGAAAGCGUGGGGAGCAAA